UUCAGGUCUGGGGCUGAAACCU
Molecule: microRNA, 22 nt
Filed under: Homo sapiens (human)
Lineage: Eukaryota; Metazoa; Chordata; Mammalia; Primates; Hominidae
Description: hsa-miR-11399
Source: miRBase by way of RNAcentral